UCAAAAUUCUAACGGCAGUUAGGGUUUAACUGGAAUGGCAAAUCCUCCGGUGACUCUCAGGAGAUGCCUCAUUACAGGCAUCAAUUCUCCCUCUCUGUCAGGACGUAUUGGCAGCGGUCGGAGACAAUAUGCCGCCGGAAGGUCCCAUUCUUGCAAUAGUGUGGUGGAGCAGAUGGAUCGCUUUAGUUUCAGAGAGAUAAGCUUUGAUCAAUUUCUGCACAUCUUUCUCUAACUCCAAGUGCAUCUUUGAGGUAUUUUAACUGACCACAAAAACUCCUAUUCUUGAUAAGAUAUGUGUAUAUACAUUUUGGUCAGAUACUUUGUGGAUUGUCAGUGUAAGGAGCCAUAGGAAUAUAGAAAUAGAUGCUCUGUUCAGAGCCUAAAGGUCAGAAAUUAAUUCAAGUGCUUGGUAGUGAUUUUCUCUAAAUCUAUGUUCGGGAGCAUGGAAUUGGAUAUAUUUUGGUUUAAUUUUCUGGGUUGCUUUUCUCCAGUUUCACCAAUUUUAAUUUCAAACCGCCACUUCGAUGCAGCCGAAUAUAGCUUAAAGUAAAUUAUUAUGGAAUCAGAAAUUAAAAAUUAACAUCGGUAUCAUACAUAUUGGAAAUUUGGAAUAAUGGGCAAUAUUGUAAACAAUGUGUUCCGAACACACAUAUGCUAUUAUGAUACAAGUAUUAAGUAAUAAUGAUUGGUGAGCUAGCCUAAGAGCAACGGUAGUACUGAAUCCCACAGAUAGGGUCAGUAUGAAAGGCCAGGCUAGGUUUGGGCUUGUAGACUUGAAGUUCAGUUGCAGAAAUGUUAUAAGACACACCUAAUCUGAAAUUUAUUUGACAUUGAUCCCAAAGCUACACAAUCAGAUGCAUUGUGAACUCAAAUUUGCUAGUCAACACUUGCAACUAAAAGUUGGUUUCCUAGAAUAUGCCUGUUUUUCAGUUGAUUAUAGCUUGUUGUUUGACCAGCAGAUGCAGCUAUUAGUCCUGAACUGAUACCUAGCAAUAUUAUAAUUGGUAAAAACCCUAUUGAAAGAGUCGACUUAUGCAUACAUAGUCAGGUUGUGAGGUAAAUUAUGCACUCUUGCUUGGAAAAACAUUAAGUGAAAAAUUAGAAUAGUGUUUCCAAGUGAGAGGGUUCGAGUCUCUCUAAUUCUAUGUCCAAAAAAAAAAAAAAAAAAUUUAAAUGAUAAUAGUGUUGCCAACCAAAAAGAUACCUAGUAAAACUUAUCAAAAAAAAGAUACCUAGUAAUGCUAUUUCAUAAUUAUUAAGAUAAGACCAGCCCAAAUAAAUAAUUGUUAUUAAUAUAGCCGUUACUUAAUGAUAUUCAUUUUUUUAUUUCCGAUAAGCAUCUCCAAUGAGAUGAAAGCUCACGACCAGAUUAAGAGGUUUAGGAAGAGGACAAGUGUGAGAUUAAAGAAAAUCUGGUAACAAAUGAGCUAAAUCAAUUAACCUAUCCAACAUAUAUGGUAUUUUAUAGAUUUUAAUAUCAUUUGUUGCUAGCAGAUUGUGUAGUACAUACAUACUCGAUCUGAUUGCAGUCAUAACCUAUUCAACUUGGGCCGCUUGGCCAUUGCCAACUCUUAUAUAUUGAUAAGAUCCAAAUGGAGUUACGGAUUUUUAGCAUGGUUAAUUUCUUUGCCUUGCAAAUGUCAGUUGGUCAUUUCAUGGGUUAGAAUCUAGCUAAUCAAACAUGUAAACAAACCAAAGGCCCCGAAAAGAAAUUGGAGGGCACAACAGUCAUGGUGUAGCUAGCUCUGCAAAUGGUAAUUAAUUGUUUACUAGGCAUCCAAAGCAAUUAAAACUUGUGCCGAAAAUUUAGCCCAAUUCCCUCCCCUAAGUAAGUAACAAAAAUGCAUCACUUGGGCACCCAUCUUCCAUUGUCACCUCCCAUUCUAAAGAAAAUGGCAUCUUACACCCUUAAUCACCCACUUUCACACACAAAAACACACCUGCACUCGUUUGUUGUAAUAUCCUGAAUUUCAUUAAAUUCUUAUAUUGGAUUAGGAAAUUGACAAUUGAUUUAACUUAAAUUAAUAUUCGGGUUUGGCAUUACAAUUCAUGCCACAAUAUUUUGAAUGGAUAAUCCUAAUUUCAUUUGAUGGAAAUUUAGUAUGUUGUUGGGUUAAUAUAUUUACUCUUGAGGAGGAGACUGGACAAACUAUUGAAAAUUGAGUGAAAUUAAUGAAGAAUAAUUGAUGGCGGUAGAAAGUAAAGAUAGAAUUAAAGUCCAAAAAUUUUAAAUCAGAGGAAAUUGGGCGGUUGAUAUAGGAAGUGAAAAACAAAUUGAGGGUUUAGAAUGAAAAUAAUAAUAAUAUUCGGAAGCUUCGUUCACUCCAUAUAUAUACACACACACACAUAUUGGAAUAUGAGAAGAGAAUAAAGAAAAAGGUAAAGGAGGACACGCGUCAUCAACUUAAAAUAUAGGUGACAUGUGUCACACAAACAUGGUGUCCAACACUUAUGUCUACAUGCAAAUAAACCGACACAUGUAUCCAAGAUUAUGUUAAUUUAAAGGCUUUGAAGACACGUUUUGACCAAAAUUAAUUCAUAUGAGAAGUUGAUGUGAGAUACAGAAGAAGUAUAAGAAUGCUUGAAAGAAGAAGAGCAAAGGUGCAACUAAGAAGAAAAAGAGAGCUUAAGAAACGGCCACAGAAAGAGAGAGAAAAGGAAGGAGAGAGGGAGAAGAAGGGAAGAAGAAAAAGGAAAGCAGAAAAGGAGUCUAACGAAGCUAAUUGGUGAGAUUGGUGAAGGAAUAUGGCAUAAGGAAAUGAGCUCAGAUAGCUGAGAGGAUGGUUGGUAGAGCCGGAAACAAUGCCCUGAGCGGUGGCAUAAUCUGAUAUCAAGAAAGAUACUUGCAGUGAAAAAGAAGAGAGGCUAUUAGUUGAAUCUCAUGAGAUGAUUGGAAUUAGAAGGGCAGAAAUUGCUAAGCGAAUUCCCAGGAGGACUGAGAAUUCAAUCAAGAACCAUAGGAAUGCCACGAAAAGGAGGCAGAAUUCAAGGAAGAGCAGCAGGAAACAAGCAGACCAAAAUAGGAGUGCUCAAUCAUCAUCUAUGUUACAAGACUACAUAUGAAGCAAGAAUCUGAAUGGUACUUCAACCAUUAUUACCUCUGCCCAAAGCACCACCACUACCCCAACAGACUCCAGCAUCUCAGAAGACUUGUCGUGCCAAGAAAGAUACUUGGAGUGAAGAAGAAGAAGAGAGGCUAUUAGUUGAAUCUCGUGAGAUGAUUGGGAACAGAUGGGCAGAAGUUGGUAAGCAAAUUCCUGGCAGGACUGAAAAUUCUAUUAAGAACCAUUGGAAUGCCACGGAAAGGAGGCAGAAUUCAAGAAGGAGCAAAGGCCAAAAUGCAAGGGGUACUCAAUCAUCUAUAUUACAAGACUAUAUAAGAAGCUAGAGUCUUACUGGUUCCACAUCCAUUAGAACCCCUACCCAAAGCACCACCACUACCCUGACGGACUCAACUGUCUUGGAAGACAUGUCAUGCCAGUUUGCUCUUUCACUAAGAGAACUAUAUAAGAAGCAAGAAUCUGAAUGGUACUUCAACCAUUAUUACCUCUACCCAAAGCACCACCGCUACCCCAACAGACUCGAGCAUCUCAGAAGUCUUGUUGUGCCAAUUUGCUCUGCAAUAACUAUCUGAAUCCACCAUAGAUGACUCUUCGCCAUUUAUGGAUCAUAUGUAUGAGGAUGAAUUGAGAUUCAUGCAGAUUUUCUUUGGUAACAGCAGCAAUCAAGGAGAAGGAGCAGGAAACAAGAAGGCCAAAAUGGAAGGAGUUCUCAGUCAUCAUCUAUGUACGAGUAUUCAUACCUCCCCGAUCAAUGGAGUAAGAUUUCCCUUGAAGUUGAGGCAAAUCCCGAAUCUAAUGACUAUUCCUAGGAUGUUCCAAGCUUCACGUCAAUCACAGGACUCUCGCUCGUGUGAGUCCUAAUAUUACAAGACUACAUAAGAAGCAAGAAUCUGAAUGGUACAUCAACCGUUAUUACCCUACCCAAAGCACCACCACUACCCGACAGACUCCAGCAUCUCUGAAGACUUGUGGUGCCAAUUUGUUCUGCAAGAACUACCUGAAUCCACCAUAGAUAGCUCUUCGCUAUUUAUAGCGCAAUUUGGCACGACAAGUCUUCUGAGAUGCUGGAGUCUGUCGGGGUAGUGGUGGUGCUUUUGGUAGGGGUAGUAAUGGUUGAAGUACCAUUCAGACUCUUGCUUCUUAUUUAGUUUUGUAAUAUAGAUGAUGAUUGCGUACUCCUUCCAUUUUGGCCUUCUUGUUUCCUGCUCUGGAUCCAUUGUACACAUGUACCUCAGUCAUCACACGUACGGACCUUACCCCUCCCUCGAGCAAUAGAGAUAUAUGAAGACAGGCAUUAACAUUGGCACUGAAUUCCCAUUACAGAAAAGCCUGACCUUCGCAUGUCAGGCCUCUUCGCAUUAGAUGGCACUCAAUCCAUUAUCAUUGGAUGGUUAAUUGCUAUGUUCUCGACUGCUGUGAUGGCUUAAUUUGUAAACAAAUGAUGCAUUAUUUUUCUGUUUUUCUUCAGUUGAAUUGAUUGUAAGCUUUCUUUUCAUUGUGAUUAUAUUUUUCUUUCCCAUGAUUUUCUCUUGUGUUUUUUUCCUUCACUUUCUCAACUGCUUCUGGUAGUCUUUGACUGGAGUCUUUUGAUUUUUUUUUUUUUUUUUUUGGGGUAGAAAACUGAAGUAAAGGAAUAUAUAGGCCUGCUUGGACAACUGUUUUCUGUUUUGAAGAUAACUGAAUAUUAGAAUAUUGUACAAAAACUUUUUUUUAUUUUUAUUUUUAUUUUAUUUUAUUAUAACCUGACAUGGAGGGGAAUGAUGGGAUGAACUUGACUCCCGUACAAAAAUUUGCUUUGGUAACAAUAACGUUUUCUAAAUACUCAACGGCUUCCCAACUGGCCACCUCCACAUGCUUUGUGCAAGAUUGUUAGCCAAAGAGUGAUGAAAUUAAUGCAGUAUAUAGAAUUUAUUUAUUUAUUUAUUUUUUUUUGGAAAUUGAGGCAAUUUGUACAUAUAAUAGCUAGUAAUAUGUACAUUGUGAGCCAAGAAAAGGACCCAACCCAAAACAGAGAAGCUUAGAAGCUUGUACAUAUCUCAACCCAAAUGGUGGUAUUAGAGGCUAAUCCAAAAGGAAAUGAUUAAGCUUGCCCAUCUCAAAAUACAACAUUUAAGGCCCGAGCCCAUCCCUAAUUUUAUUGAAUUGGGAUUCUCAAAUCAAAAUUCUAAUGGCCGUUAGGGUUUAACUGGAAUGGCAAAUCCUCCGGCAAGUCUCAGGAGAUGCCUGAUUAGUGAUUACUGGCAUCAAUUCUCUCCGUCUGGAGGUCUUGGCAGCGGUCGUAGACCAGCUUCCGCCGGCAGGUCCCAUUCUUUCUUGCAAUAGUGUGGUCGAGCAGAUGGAUCGCUUUAGUUUCAGAGAGAUGAGCUUUGAUCAACUUCUAUUUCUUUCUCAAACUCCAAGUACAUCUUUGAGGUAUUUUAACUGACCACAAAACUCCUAUUCUUGAUAAGAUAUAUCUCAGAUGCUUUGUGGAUUGUCAAGUGUAAGUAGCCAUAGGAAUUUAGAAAUAGAUGCUCUGUUUAGCAUAAAGUUCAGAAAUUAAUUCAAAUUCUUGGUAGUGGUUUCCUCUUAAGUCUAUGUUUGGCUGCAUUGAAUUGUAGCCUUAGAAAUGGAACGAACUAAACUUUUCUCUAAUUCUACCAAUUCCAUACAACCGAACAUAGCCUAAAGAAAAAUAUUAUGGAAUCAGAAAUAAAAAUUUAACCUCGCUAUCAUACAUAUUGGAAUAAUGGGCAAUACUGUUUAGAGUGUGUCCAACAAGUAAAAUAAUGUUCGGUGAGCUAGCCUAAGAACAACAGUAGUACUGAGUUCUGCAGACAGGGCCGGUAUGAAAGGUCUGGCUAGGUUUGGGCUUGUAGACCUGAAGUCUAGUUGCAGAAAUGUUAUAAGACAUACCUUAUCUGAAAUUUAUUUGACAUUGAUCCCAAAGUUAUAUAAUCACAGAUGCAUCGUGAACUCAAAUUUGCUAGUCAGCACAUGCAACAAAAAGUUGAUUUCCUUGUACAAAAUGGUAUAUGCCUGUUUUUUCAGUUGAUUAUAGCUUGUUGUUUGAGCAGCAGAUCCACGGAGCUUUUAGUCAUGAACUGAUACCUAGCAAUAUUAUAAUUGGUAAAAGCCCUAUUGAAAGAGUCGACUCAUGCAUACUUAGGCAGGUUGUGAGGUAAAUUAUGCACUCUUACUUGGAAAAACAUUAAGUGAAGAACUAGAAUAAUGUUUCCAAGAGAGAGGUAAGAGGGUUCGAGUCUCUCUAAUUCUAUGUCCAAAAAAAAUAAAAAAUUAGAAUAGUGUUGCGAACCAACAAGAUACCUAGUAAUGCUAUUUCAUAAUUAUUAAGAUAAGACUGCCCCAAAUAAAUAAUCGUUAUUAAUUGGUGUGAAAAAUAUAGUUGUUAUUUAAUGAUAUUCAUUUCUUGAUUUCUGAUAAGCAUCUCCAACGAGGUGAAAGCUUACUGAACCAGAUUAAGAGAUUUAGGAAGAGGACAAAAGCAAGAUUAGAGAAAAUCUAGCAACAUAUGAUCUAAAUCAAUUAAACUAUUUAACACACAUAGUAUUUUAUAGAUUUUAAUAUCAUUUUGUUGCUAGCAGAUUGUGUAGUACAUCCGUACUCGACCUUAUUGCCGUCAUAACCUAUUCAACUUGGGCCACUAGGCCAUUGCCAACUCUUAUAUAUUGAUAAGAUCCGAAUGGAGUUAUGGAUUUUUAGCAUAUUUAAUUUCUUUGCCUUGCAAAUGUCAGUUGGUCAUUGCACAGGUUAGAAUCUAGCUAAUCACACAUGUAAACAAACCAAAGGCCCCAAAAAGAAAUUGGAGGGCACAACAGUCAUGGUGUAGGUAGCUCUGCAAAUGGCAAUUAAACAUUUACUAGGCAUCCAAAGCAAUUAAAACUUGUGCCGAAAAUUUAGCCCAAUUCCCUCCCCUAAGUAAGUCACAAUAAUGCAUCACUUGGGCACCCAUCUUCCAGUGUCACGUCCCCUUCCAAAGAAAAUGGCAUUUUACACCCUUAAUCACCCACCUUCACACACAAAAACACACCCGCACUCGUUUGCUGUAAUAUCCUGAAUUUUAUAAUAAUAAAAAAAAAAAAUAAAAAAAAAAAAUAAAAAUCCUGAAUUUUAUUAAAUUCUUAUUGAGAUUAGGAAAUUUACAAUUGAUUUAACUUAAAUUAAUAUUCAGGUUUGGCAUUACAAUUCAUGCCACACUAUAUUGAAUGGAUAAUCCUAAUUUCAUUUGAUGGAAAUUUAGUAUGUUGUUGGGUUAAUAUAUUUACUCUUUAAGAGGAGAUGCGACAAACUAUUGAAAAUUGAGUGAAAUUAAUGAAGAAUAAUUGAUGGUGGUAGAAAGUAAAGACAGAAUUAAAGUCCAAGAAUUUAAAAUGAGAGUAAAUUGGGAAGUUGAUAUAGAAAGUGAAAAACAAAUUGAGGGUUAAGAAUGAAAAUAAUAAUAAUAAUAUUCGGAAGCUUCAUUCACUCCAGAUAUAUAUAUAUAUAUAAUAUACACAUAUUGGAUUAUCGUUGUAAUGGCACUUUAUGCGUCUUUUAUUAGUUUUGUUAAGGGUUCGCUCACCUUUGAACAUUUUUAUUAAUAUAUAUUUACUUAUCAAAAUAUAUAUAUAUAUAUAUAUAUAUAUAUAUAUAUAUAUAUAUAAUAUACACACGUAUUGGAAUAUGAGAAGAGAAUAAAGAAAUAGGUAAAGAGGAGGACACGCGUCAUCAACUUAAAUAUAUAUAUAUAUAUAUAUAUAUAUAUAUAUAUAUAUAUAUAUAUAUGGGCGACAUGUGUCACACAAACAUAGUGUCCAACACUUAUGUCUACAUGCAAAUAUACCGACACAUGUAUCCAGAUUAUGUUAAUUCAAAGGCUUCCAAGACACGUUUUGACCAAAAUUAAUUCAUAUGAGGAGUUGAUGUGAGAUACAGAAGAAGUAUAAAGCAAAGGUUUAACUGAGAAGACAAAGGGAGCUUAAGACACGGCCACAGAAAGAGAAAGAAAAGGAAGGAGGGAGGGAGAGGAAGGGAAGAAGAAAAAGGAAAGCAGAACAGGCAAGCAGAAAAGGAGUCUAACGAAGCUGUAGAAAGAUACUUGGAGUGAAGAAGAAGAGAGGCUAUUAGUUGAAUCUCGUGAGAUGAUUGGAAACAGAUGGGCAGAAAUUGCUAAGCGAAUUCCUGGCAGGACUGAGAAUUCAAUAAAGAACCAUUGGAAUGCCACAAAAAGGAGGCAGAAUUCAAGGAGGAGCAGGAAACAAGAAGGCCAAAAUGGAAGGAGUGCUCGAUCAUCAUCUAUAUUACAAGACUACAUAAGAAACAAGAAUCUCAAUGGUACUUCAACCAUUAUUACCUCUACCCAAAGCACCACCACUACCCCAACAGACUCCAGCAUCUCAGAAGACUUAGAAUUGGUGAGAUUGGUGAAGCAAUACGGCAUAAGGAAAUGGGCUCAGAUAGCUGAGAAGAUGGUUGAUAGAGCCGGAAAACAGUGCCGUGAGUGGUGGCAUAAUCUGAUAUCAAGAAAGAUACUUGGAAUGAAGAAGAAGAGAGGCUAUUAGUUGAAUCUCGUGAGAUGAUUGGGAACAUAUGGGCAGAAGUUGGUAAGCAAAUUCCCUGCAGGAUUGAAAAUUCUAUUAAGAACCAUUGGAAUGCCACGGAAAGGAGGCAGAAUCCAAGGAGGAGCAAAGGGCAAAAUGCAAGGGGUACUCCAUCAUCUAUAUUACAAGACUAUAUAAGAAGCUACAGUCUUACUGGUACCGCGUCCAUUAGAACCCCUACCCAAAGCACCACCACCACUACCCCGACGGACUCAAACGUCUCGGAAGACAUGUCAUGCCAGUUUGCUCUUUCACUAAGAGAACUUUAUAAGAAGCAAGAAUCUGAAUGGUACUUCAACCAUUAUUACCUCUACCCAAAGCACCACCACUACCCCAACAGACUCGAGCAUCUCAGAAGACUUGUGCCAAUUUGCUCUGCAGUAACUCUCUGAAUCCACCGUAGAUGACUCUUCGCCAUUUAUGAAUCAUAUGUAUGAGGAUGAAUUGAGAUUCAUGCAGAUCUUCUUUGGUAACAGCAGCAAUCAAGGAGAAGGAGCAGGAAACAAGAAGGCCAAAAUGGAAGGAGUACUCAGUCAUCAUCUAUAUUACAAGACUACAUAAG
Molecule: long non-coding RNA, 9203 nt
Organism: Cornus florida
Lineage: Eukaryota; Viridiplantae; Streptophyta; Magnoliopsida; Cornales; Cornaceae
Exons: 7
Source: RefSeq, a predicted model, not a curated record